GAUGAAGAACGUAGCGAAAUGCGAUACGUAAUGUGAAUUGCAGAAUUCAGUGAAUCAUCGAAUCUUUGAACGCAUAUUGCGCUCUUUGGUAUUCCGAAGAGCAUGCUUGUUUGAGUAUCAGUAAACACCUCAAAGCUUUUGGAUUUUUUAAUCGAAAAGCUUUGGACUUGAGCAAUCCCAACACCAAUCUUUUUGAGAUCGGUGGCGGGUUGCUUGAAAUGCAGGUGCGGCUGGACAUUCUCCUGAGCUAAAAGCAUAUUCAUUUAGUCCCGUCAAACGGAUUAUUACUUUUGCUGCAGCUAACAUAAAGGGAGUUUGACCGUAUUGGCUGACUGAUGCAGGAUUUCACAAGGGUCGGCAACGAUUCUUGUUAAACUCGAUCUCAAAUCAAGUAAGACUACCCGCUGAACUUAAGCAUAUCAAUAAGCGGAGGA
This 434-nucleotide unclassified non-coding RNA is filed under the name soil metagenome. RNAcentral's name for it is "partial contains 5.8S ribosomal RNA, internal transcribed spacer 2, and large subunit ribosomal RNA". The stretch from base 1 to 120 matches the Rfam family "5.8S ribosomal RNA", at positions 35 to 154 of the family's 154-position model. The record is from RNAcentral.